UCUUCUUGAUUGAUCUUUACCAUUUCCUUUAGUUUAUAUAUGAUAAAUUAUGCAGCACUGAUACAGCAAAUUGCCAAUAAGCCUCAUGAUACAUGCAAGAAUGGAAUCAAAAUAGAAGUCAUUGUCAAGACUUGGGUAAUGGGAAAUAAAUCAAGUGGAACACGAGGAUGAAAGAAAUGUGAAGAAUGACAUAAGCGUUCAAUAUUGAUUUUAACAGUGCACUUUUGAACAAUUGAUACUUCUGAGGUUGAAGAAAAUCUUUUUGCUACAAGUGAUGCCAAGGUAAAUGAACUGAAGCAUCGUGCAGUGAUGGAAGGCCAAUGAAACAAGGACAACAUUUUCUCAUUUGAACAGUCAUGGAUUUAGUUUUAUGAAUCAAAUUCAUCUUGGACAUCGUGAUGUGUACA
This is a long non-coding RNA of Cucumis melo (muskmelon), 407 nucleotides long. RefSeq lists it as uncharacterized. NCBI's taxonomy places the organism in Eukaryota, Viridiplantae, Streptophyta, Magnoliopsida, Cucurbitales, Cucurbitaceae. The record is from RefSeq and is a predicted model, not a curated record. The transcript has 3 exons.